GAAACACGGACCAAGGAGUCUAGCAUGUGCGCGAGUCAUUGGGAUUAAUUAAACCUAAAGGCGCAAUGAAAGUAAAGGUUCGCCUCGCGCGAACCGAGGGAGGAUGGGCGCGUAUUCAGGCGUGCCCCGCACUCCCGGGGCGUCUCGUUCUCAUCGCGAGAAGAGGCGCACCCAGAGCGUACACGCUGGGACCCGAAAGAUGGUGAACUAUGCUUGGUCAGGACGAAGUCAGGGGAAACCCUGAUGGAGGUCCGUAGCGAUUCUGACGUGCAAAUCGAUCGUCGGAACUGAGUAUAGGAGCGAAAGACUAAUCGAACCAUCUAGUAGCUGG
This 331-nucleotide ribosomal RNA is filed under the name Peckolus alpinus. RNAcentral describes it as "eukaryotic LSU rRNA". It matches the Rfam family "Eukaryotic large subunit ribosomal RNA", at positions 656 to 954 of the family's 3401-position model. Lineage: Eukaryota; Metazoa; Arthropoda; Insecta; Coleoptera; Scarabaeidae. The record is from RNAcentral.